CAUCUAUAAAUUCCGUAGAGAACUUUUGAAACCAUAUCAUAGUUCUUCUAUUAAUGUUCAUUCUUGUCUGGUGAAUAAUUCUUGAAUAACAUCCUUGCAGAUCUUUCCCCCAAAUGAAAAGAUAGGGUACAUAAAUAAUAUGCGUUCGUUGCGAAUGGAGGAGAUUCCUGAAGAAGAGAAAAACCGUGGUCCUCAGGAUUGCUUGAUUCAUGUUUACCAUUUCACAAAAGAUACCUCCCAAAAGCUGAUGUACUUUGGAGAACCCUUUUUCUUCCUUACCCAUGAAGUCGAGACUUUGGCCAACAUUAAAGUGCGUAUACAGAAGAAAUUGCAGGUUCCUGACAAGGAGUUUG
Long non-coding RNA from Telopea speciosissima, 353 nucleotides. RefSeq lists it as uncharacterized. The transcript is spliced from 3 exons. NCBI's taxonomy places the organism in Eukaryota, Viridiplantae, Streptophyta, Magnoliopsida, Proteales, Proteaceae. The record is from RefSeq and is a predicted model, not a curated record.